AUUGAACGCUGGCGGCAUGCCUUACACAUGCAAGUCGAACGGCAGCACGGGAGCAAUCCUGGUGGCGAGUGGCGAACGGGUGAGUAAAGUAUCGGAACGUGCCCAGUCGUGGGGGAUAACGUAGCGAAAGUUACGCUAAUACCGCAUACGAUCUAUGGAUGAAAGCGGGGGAUCGCAAGACCUCGCGCGAUUGGAGCGGCCGAUAUCAGAUGAGGUAGUUGGUGGGGUAAAGGCUCACCAAGCCGACGAUCUGGAGCUGGUCUGAGAAGACCGCCAGCCACACUGGGACUGAGACACGGCCCAGACUCCUACGGGAGGCAGCAGUGAGGAAUUUUGGACGAUCGGCGAAAGCCUGAUCCAGCCAUGCCGCGUGCAGGAUGAAGGCCUUCGGAUUGUAAACUGCUUUUGUACGGAACGAAAAGGUUUGGCCUAAUAAGCUGAGCUCAUGACGGUACCGUAAGAAUAAGCACCGGCUAACUACGUGCCAGCCGCCGCAGUAA
RNAcentral lists this ribosomal RNA (500 nucleotides) under uncultured bacterium. Its description in RNAcentral is "partial 16S ribosomal RNA". It matches the Rfam family "Bacterial small subunit ribosomal RNA", at positions 30 to 523 of the family's 1533-position model. The record is from RNAcentral.